RNAcentral lists this ribosomal RNA (1014 nucleotides) under Helotiales sp. WMM-2012d. RNAcentral describes it as "SSU rRNA". It matches the Rfam family "Eukaryotic small subunit ribosomal RNA", at positions 80 to 1102 of the family's 1831-position model. The record is from RNAcentral. Lineage: Eukaryota; Fungi; Ascomycota; Leotiomycetes; Helotiales.
GGUGAAACUGCGAAUGGCUCAUUAAAUCAGUUAUCGUUUAUUUGAUAGUACCUUACUACUUGGAUAACCGUGGUAAUUCUAGAGCUAAUACAUGCUAAAAACCCCGACUUCGGAAGGGGUGUAUUUAUUAGAUAAAAAACCAAUGCCCUUCGGGGCUCCUUGGUGAUUCAUAAUAACUUAACGAAUCGCAUAGCCUUGUGCUGGCGAUGGUUCAUUCAAAUUUCUGCCCUAUCAACUUUCGAUUGUAUGGUAUUGGCUUACAAUGGUUUCAACGGGUAACGGGGAAUUAGGGUUCUAUUCCGGAGAGGGAGCCUGAGAAACGGCUACCACAUCCAAGGAAGGCAGCAGGCGCGCAAAUUACCCAAUCCCGACACGGGGAGGUAGUGACAAUAAAUACUGAUACAGGGCUCUUUUGGGUCUUGUAAUUGGAAUGAGUACAAUUUAAAUCCCUUAACGAGGAACAAUUGGAGGGCAAGUCUGGUGCCAGCAGCCGCGGUAAUUCCAGCUCCAAUAGCGUAUAUUAAAGUUGUUGCAGUUAAAAAGCUCGUAGUUGAACCUUGGGUUUGGUUGGUCGGUCCGCCUCACCGCGUGCACUGAUCCGACCGAAUCUUUCCUUCUGGGGAACCGUAUGCCCUUCACUGGGUGUGCUGGGGAACCAGGACUUUUACUUUGAAAAAAUUAGAGUGUUCAAAGCAGGCCUAUGCUCGAAUACAUUAGCAUGGAAUAAUAGAAUAGGACGUGUGGUUCUAUUUUGUUGGUUUCUAGGACCGCCGUAAUGAUUAAUAGGGAUAGUCGGGGGCAUCAGUAUUCAAUUGUCAGAGGUGAAAUUCUUGGAUUUAUUGAAGACUAACUACUGCGAAAGCAUUUGCCAAGGAUGUUUUCAUUAAUCAGUGAACGAAAGUUAGGGGAUCGAAGACGAUCAGAUACCGUCGUAGUCUUAACCAUAAACUAUGCCGACUAGGGAUCGGGCGGUGUUAUCUUUUUGACCCGCUCGGCACCUUACGAGAAAUCAAA